AGUUCUCCGCUUCACUUACAG
Molecule: microRNA, 21 nt
Filed under: Drosophila pseudoobscura
Lineage: Eukaryota; Metazoa; Arthropoda; Insecta; Diptera; Drosophilidae
Description: dps-miR-2556-3p
Source: miRBase by way of RNAcentral